This is a long non-coding RNA of Oncorhynchus tshawytscha (Chinook salmon), 261 nucleotides long. Lineage: Eukaryota; Metazoa; Chordata; Actinopteri; Salmoniformes; Salmonidae. The record is from Ensembl.
CGGGUAUGUGGUGGCUUGUUAUAAGGAACCAGAACACGGAUGUAUCAAGGUAAAUCUCAGUUGAGCUGUCACUCCUCCAUCUUGGUUGUGAAGCAGGAGAAGCUCCAAGGCUCCCCGGAGAGCUAAAUAACAUAUAAAACAUCAAAGAGGAAUGAGACAGAUAAUCUAUUAAUGUGGAGGCUGUAAGACUGGCUGGCUGGUUGGCUGGGCUGGCUGGCUGCUGCAAUUUAAGCCUCUGGAUGGGGGAGUAUCAGUGAGGAG